GUUCACAGUAACUGCUCAAAAUAAAGACCCAGUAUCACGGAAUCAUAGAAUCGUGGGAUUAUUAAGGUUGGAAAAGACCACUAAUAUCAUCCAGUCCAGUCACUGACCCGUCACCACCAUCACCAUAUCGUGCAGCUCACACGGAAAGGAGGAUGCUUUUCAAUGUAGAGCACUUUGCCACGAGUCCUCCCCUUUUUAACGACUGCCGGCUGCUUUUCUUCCAAAGGGAAGUUUUGCAAAGUGCUGUUUGGUUUUGUUUCAGAUCGAACGCAAUAAAACCCUUCAAGGAAACGCGGCAUGCGGCAUUGUUCUCAUGCUCCUCGAACAUUUGAAGGACCCCUCGGAAGGAAUGUGCACUGGGAGAUAGAGGGAGGAAGCAGGAAAAAAAUAUAUAAGAAAUAUCAGGGAGACCCGGUCGGCAUGAAUCAUUUCAGACUCUCUGUUGAACCUGCGGUACCCUGCCGUGCUGAAGUUGGCGCAAGCGCAGAGCCCACGGAAUACAGGUCCUUGCAGAUAUGGAAAGCUCGAAGGCUGUGGGAAUUGACGAGCUCUGUGUCCUCGUGUGUCUGUCCAUUGACCAGUUACGUAAGGCUCUAGCUGUGCAUAGCAACUCAGUACUGAAAGGCGUUACUGAUACUUAGAGGGAAAAAGCGAGAAAAAAAUAUUUAAGUGGUGUUGGUAUUUGUAUUGUUAUUGGUUUGGGUAUUAGUAUUAACGUUAGUGUUAGUAUUUAGUUUCCCCACUUCUAUUCCCACCGCCAUGGAGAGGACUGCUGCACUGCACCCCCAGCACUGUGUGCUGGCUGCAGUCUGGAGGCUGCUAAAAGUUUUCCAUUCAACAUGUAUCCAUUGGCUGGUUGUUGUCCUGCCAUAGACAACACACCCAGUUAGGUACAGUGAUGCUCCUUUCUCUGAAAUGAGAAAUCUGCAAAGGAAGGACUCGUUUCCAUAAAUGCCUUUCCUGGUUAAUGCACACUGCAGCUUUUGUUCUGUUCCUGCAUUUCUAUGACAAUACAUACAGUGGGAAAACGAUUAUGCUUGGAAAACUAAUUAAUGCACAUUGAAGCCUUGCAUGUAUACCAUGACUUGGAGAGAUUGCAAGGGAUGUCAGCAUAGCAACUGAGCUGUUCUGGUUUCUCAGAUAAAGACGUAUUUGCUACAAAGUUCAGAACUGCUUUGUGAAGAAACAUCGUUAUCAGAUAAUAUGGACAAAAAUAUCCCAUCCAGUUUUUACUUUUAGUGAAAGAGACAUGCCAUCAAGGUGAGACUGGAAACAUACAUCAUUUCUCUAAGCUUUAAAACCCUUCCUAAGGUUAAGAUGCAUUGAGCAGCUCUCGAAGGGCCGACCUGCAGAGUGCCCUUUAAUUGCACGUUACUGUCUUAUGGCGUCCCCAUAGCACGUGAGCUACGCUGCAUUCUGUAACUGAGGGACCCCGCUGCGGGGAGUACCCCAGGGCACCCCCAGACACCUACAAGUACCCCGCAGAGAGAGGGAAAGUGGAAAACACCAGCAACCCUGAGCCCCUGGCAUACUUAAGCACUGACUUAAGUCUUUCUUUAGAGGUUUUAGGACUUCAGCUGGCCUCGAGCUCAGGGCA
Molecule: long non-coding RNA, 1597 nt
Organism: Coturnix japonica (Japanese quail)
Lineage: Eukaryota; Metazoa; Chordata; Aves; Galliformes; Phasianidae
Source: Ensembl